RNAcentral lists this ribosomal RNA (207 nucleotides) under uncultured delta proteobacterium. Its description in RNAcentral is "partial 16S ribosomal RNA". It matches the Rfam family "Bacterial small subunit ribosomal RNA", at positions 568 to 774 of the family's 1533-position model. The record is from RNAcentral. Lineage: Bacteria; Deltaproteobacteria.
CGCGUAGGCGGUCUCUUGAGUCAGAUGUGAAAGCCCUCGGCUUAACCGAGGAAGUGCAUUUGAUACUAGGAGACUUGAGUAUGGGAGAGGGAAGCGGAAUUCCUGGUGUAGCGGUGAAAUGCGUAGAUAUCAGGAGGAACACCGGUGGCGAAGGCGGCUUCCUGGACCAAUACUGACGCUGAGGCGCGAAGGCGUGGGGAGCAAACA